RNAcentral lists this ribosomal RNA (245 nucleotides) under uncultured bacterium. RNAcentral describes it as "partial small subunit ribosomal RNA". It matches the Rfam family "Bacterial small subunit ribosomal RNA", at positions 26 to 285 of the family's 1533-position model. The record is from RNAcentral.
AGAAUCAACGCUGGCGGCGUGCCUAACACAUGCAAGUCGCACGAGAAAGGGGCUUCGGUCCUGAGUACAGUGGCGCACGGGUGAGUAACACGUGAAUAAUCUACCUCCGAGUGGGGAAUAACUGAGAGAAAUCUUAGCUAAUACCGCAUAACACUUACGGGUCAAAGCAGCAAUGCGCUUGGAGAGGAGUUCGCGGCAGAUUAGUUAGUUGGCGGGGUAAUGGCCCACCAAGACGAUGAUCUGUA